GUGGGGAAUCUUAGACAAUGGGGGAAACCCUGAUCUAGCCAUGCCGCGUGAGCGAAGAAGGCCUUAGGGUUGUAAAGCUCUUUCAGCUGGGAAGAUAAUGACGGUACCAGCAGAAGAAGCCCCGGCUAACUCCGUGCCAGCAGCCGCGGUAAUACGGAGGGGGCUAGCGUUGUUCGGAAUUACUGGGCGUAAAGCGCGCGUAGGCGGACCAGAAAGUUGGAGGUGAAAUCCCAGGGCUCAACCUUGGAACUGCCUUCAAAACUCCUGGUCUGGAGUUCGAGAGAGGUGAGUGGAAUUCCGAGUGUAGAGGUGAAAUUCGUAGAUAUUCGGAGGAACACCAGUGGCGAAGGCGGCUCACUGGCUCGAUACUGACGCUGAGGUGCGAAAGCGUGGGGAGCAAACAGGAUUAGAUACCCUAGUAGUCC
This 425-nucleotide ribosomal RNA is filed under the name uncultured bacterium. Its description in RNAcentral is "partial 16S ribosomal RNA". It matches the Rfam family "Bacterial small subunit ribosomal RNA", at positions 354 to 796 of the family's 1533-position model. The record is from RNAcentral.